RNAcentral lists this transfer RNA (69 nucleotides) under Boophis tephraeomystax. RNAcentral describes it as "partial tRNA-Val". It matches the Rfam family "tRNA". From Rfam's summary of the family: Transfer RNA (tRNA) molecules are approximately 80 nucleotides in length. Lineage: Eukaryota; Metazoa; Chordata; Amphibia; Anura; Mantellidae. The record is from RNAcentral.
CAAAAUGUAGCUUAACAAAAGCCCCUCGCUUACACCGAGACGAUAUCUGUUAAACCCGGAUCAUUUUGA